GCAAAGGCAAUGGACAAUAACAUUGGUGCAGGCUUAGUAACAAUUACUCUUGUAUGGUUGUCUAUUUACAAUAAACAUUAUAGUGCUGUCAAAAUGAAUGAUUAAUCCAAGUGUUUAAUCAAAAACUAAAAAUAACUCAUAAUCCUGAUACCUUCUAGAUUGAUAGCUUCCUGUAUUUGCUACAUACGUCUGCUAUGUCCAGUGUGUGUGUUUACAAAGUUGGUAUAGCCUAGAUAUCACAACAUUGUCAAUCGCGUCGUCAAUCACAAAUGAUAAUUUAUUAAAACGUCUCGCUACCGAACUACCUACAGUAGCUUAAUUUGCGGAGGACGAAGAGAAAGCACCCAUUUGGUAAAUGAGCCAGUGAGAAGUAAUAACUUUUAAGUAGGGUCCAGUGCCUUUUCGAUACUUUUAUAAUGGUACCGGCGCCUAAACGGUGCCUGAACCGAUACUUAGAAAAAAGAACCACAAAAAAAAAAACAA
Carassius carassius (crucian carp) is the source of this 483-nucleotide long non-coding RNA. RefSeq lists it as uncharacterized. The record is from RefSeq and is a predicted model, not a curated record. Lineage: Eukaryota; Metazoa; Chordata; Actinopteri; Cypriniformes; Cyprinidae. The transcript has 2 exons.